UGCGGUAACGUGAUCAAUCCCAGAGCCCCGGGGAGAGUUCUCUUUUCUUUGUGAAUGGGCAGGGCACCCUGGAAUGGGUUCGCCCCGAGAGGGGGGCCCAAGCCCUGGAAAGUGUUGUGGUUUCGGCGGCGUCCAGUGAGCUCUCUCUGGCCCUUGAAAAUUAAGG
Molecule: non-coding RNA, 166 nt
Filed under: Salmo salar (Atlantic salmon)
Lineage: Eukaryota; Metazoa; Chordata; Actinopteri; Salmoniformes; Salmonidae
Description: Eukaryotic large subunit ribosomal RNA
Rfam family: Eukaryotic large subunit ribosomal RNA
Source: Rfam by way of RNAcentral